Long non-coding RNA from Aegilops tauschii subsp. strangulata, 2096 nucleotides. RefSeq lists it as uncharacterized. Lineage: Eukaryota; Viridiplantae; Streptophyta; Magnoliopsida; Poales; Poaceae. The record is from RefSeq and is a predicted model, not a curated record.
AUGGAUCGCCAUGCGGACGCGUGUCCGUUUGGGUUGGCGCGUUGGACCGCCUUUUGUGUCCGCGCUGACCCAAACGGACGCCAGCAGACGAAAUGGUCGCCCCAUUGGAGUUGAUCUUAGGUCAGGGCCCCAUGAACCACUUUGUAUCCCUCUUCAUGUAAACUUUGAGAGUAAUAAAGUUUGGCCUUUCUUAAAAUAAAAAAUAAAACUUUGCUAGCUGGGAUUUAGUUUGCUCUCAUUCACGAGCACAUCCAUUGAAUCAAAAAGCGUGUUGCGAUUCGUGCAGAUGUCCCAGCAAAAGAAGUACGUGGCCUUCUUUGUUAUUUUAUUGGCUUGUUAUCGUGGUGGUGGCCCUUGUGGCCCGGCCUCCUUUGGUUGAUAGAUUCUUUUUCCCGAGGAACUUUGGUUAACAGAUGAAGUGGGAGUACGUACUGACGCCGCCUCAAAAAAAGAAAGGAAAAGUGUUCAAAUCACCCGAUGAUUUUCUGGACAAUUCAUCCGCGUCCAUGCAUGCCACGCGUCCAGGCGCCUGCACUGUGUCCCUCCCUUAUCUUCAGGCGUCUUCUUCCCCGCACCGGCUAUCUGGAAAAUUUCCCUUUUCUUUCUCCUACCUCUCCCUUCUUCCGUGCUUGUCUUUCCGUAUCACCUCUCUCUCUCUUGCAACCUGGCCGGCGGCCACCAGAGCCGCGAGUCGCCGCCGCUGUUGUCAUCAGUUGUUGCAACACACGGAAGGGAAAGUGCAGUGCUGCGAGCGCCUGAGGUACGGAGGUGAUGAGAUCUCGGCCCACAUCACUGCUGCAUCCCCGCUUCAUCCCGGCACCGGUGUUGCAAUGGAGCUUCGCCGGAGUUGAAUUGGAGCUUCGCUGGGAGGUGCCAGUGCUGCGUUGGAGCUCCUCUCGGGCUGCAGUGAAGCUUCGCCGGAGUUGUAUUGGAGCAUCACGGAGCCGCCGGUGCUGUGUUGGAGCUCCUCCCGGGCUGCAAUGGAGCUUCGCCGGAGUUGUAUUGGAGCUUCGCGGAGCCGCCGGUGCUGCGUUGGAGCUCCUCCCGGGCUGCAAUGGAGCCUCGGGCGGAGUUGCAUUGGAGCUCUGCCGGAGCCGUCGGUGCUGCGUUGGAGCUCCGCCGGAGGCUGCAACGGAGCUUUGUCGGUCGCGUCGGUGCUGCCAUGAGCGUCGGGGCGCCAGUGCUGCAUACGGUGGUCGCUUGGUCGGCAACGUCGACAACUGCUGCAUAUGGUGGCGAGCGUGGAGCAGAGCUAGUGCUGCGAUGGAGCAUCACAGGGGGUCGCAUGUGCUCCAACGGAGCAUCGUCGGCACCGCCGCCCGCCGGUCUAGUCGUCGGUGUUGUGAUGCAGAAUCGCGGCAGGCUAUGGAGAAGAGACAAGGUCAGGAAGGGGGUUGUCCUCGUGGAUGUCUAGCGAGAGAAGGAAGAUGGGCUUCGAGGCUACAGAUCGAACGGCCCGUACGCCUAAUCAGACGGCUCCUCAGACGGAUGAUAUUUUGCAAAUAUCAUCCGGAUGAUUUAUAGCAGCGGCCAAAAAGAAAACGUAGCGAUGCUGCCUUUUAUUAGAUGGGGUCGCACUGUGGGGUUUCAAAAAUGGAUCACAACGGCGGGUUUUCAAAUAUGGCCGCAACUGCAAGCUUUCAAGUCGGGUUGUAACUGCAAGUUUUUAAAUGGGGCAAGUUUUCAAAUCAGGUUUCACCUGCAAGUUUUUAAAUGGGCUCGCAACUGCAAGUAUUCAAGUCAGGCUGCAACUGCAGGUUUUCAUGUCGGUUGGCAACUGAAAGUUUUCAAGUCGAGUCGUAACAGCAAGUCUCCAAGUGGGGUCGCAACUCCAUGUUUUUAAAUGGGUUGUAACUAGAAGUUUUCAAGUGGCGACACAAUUGCAAGUUUUUAAGUCGGGUCGCCACUCCAAGUUUUCAAGUGGGUCGCAACUGUAGAUUCUCAAAUGGUUCAUAACUGUAAGUUUUCAUGUGCAGUCAUAACAACAAGUUUUUUAGUGGGGUCGCAGCUUCAAGUUUUCAAGUGGGGUCACAACUGCUAGUUUUUAAGUGGGGCCGCAAUUGCAAGUUUACAAAUGGUAGCAAAUUUCAAGUGGA